RNAcentral lists this ribosomal RNA (253 nucleotides) under uncultured bacterium. Its description in RNAcentral is "partial 16S ribosomal RNA". It matches the Rfam family "Bacterial small subunit ribosomal RNA", at positions 524 to 776 of the family's 1533-position model. The record is from RNAcentral.
UACAGAGGGUGCGAGCGUUAAUCGGAAUUACUGGGCGUAAAGCGCGCGUAGGCGGCUUUGCAAGUCGAGUGUGAAAUCCCCAGGCUUAACCUGGGAAUGGCAUUUGGGACUGCAAGGCUUGAGUGCGGCAGAGGAGACUGGAAUUCCUGGUGUAGCAGUGAAAUGCGUAGAUAUCAGGAGGAAUACCGAUGGCGAAGGCAGGUCUCUGGGCUGACACUGACGCUCAUGCACGAAAGCGUGGGGAGCAAACAGG